RNAcentral lists this ribosomal RNA (469 nucleotides) under uncultured organism. RNAcentral's name for it is "partial 16S ribosomal RNA". It matches the Rfam family "Bacterial small subunit ribosomal RNA", at positions 334 to 795 of the family's 1533-position model. The record is from RNAcentral.
CACUCCUGCGGGAGGCAGCAGUGGGGAAUUUUGGACAAUGGGCGAAAGCCUGAUCCAGCAAUGCCGCGUGAGUGAAGAAGGCCUUCGGGUUGUAAAGCUCUUUUGUCAGGGAAGAAACGGUGAAAGCUAAUAUCUUUUGCUAAUGACGGUACCUGAAGAAUAAGCACCGGCUAACUACGUGCCAGCAGCCGCGGUAAUACGUAGGGUGCAAGCGUUAAUCGGAAUUACUGGGCGUAAAGCGUGCGCAGGCGGUUUUGUAAGUCUGAUGUGAAAUCCCCGGGCUCAACCUGGGAAUUGCAUUGGAGACUGCAAGGCUAGAAUCUGGCAGAGGGGGGUAGAAUUCCACGUGUAGCAGUGAAAUGCGUAGAUAUGUGGAGGAACACCGAUGGCGAAGGCAGCCCCCUGGGUCAAGAUUGACGCUCAUGCACGAAAGCGUGGGGAGCAAACAGGAUUAGAUACCCGUGUAUCC